Molecule: ribosomal RNA, 410 nt
Filed under: uncultured bacterium
Lineage: Bacteria
Description: bacterial SSU rRNA
Rfam family: Bacterial small subunit ribosomal RNA
Source: RNAcentral
AACGAACGCUGGCGGCGUGCCUAACACAUGCAAGUCGUGCGAGAAAAGUUCCUUCGGGAGCGAGUAAAAGCGGCGCACGGGUGAGUAACACGUAGGUAACCUGCCCCCCCAGUCUGGAACAACUAGAGGAAACUCUAGCUAAUGCCGGAUAAGACCACGGCCCCCUCGGGGGCUGCGGCCAAAGAUGGCCUCUACUUGUACGCUAUCGCUGAGGGAUGGGCCUGCGGGCCAUUAGCUUGUUGGUGAGGUAACGGCUCACCAAGGCUGUGAUGGCUAGCUGGUCUGAGAGGAUGACCAGCCACACUGGGGACUGAGACACGGCCCAGACUCCUACGGGAGGCAGCAGUGGGGAAUAUUGCGCAAUGGGCGAAAGCCUGACGCAGCGACGCCCGCGGUGGGUGAUGAAGGCC